AUUGAACGCUGCGGCAUGCUUUACACAUGCAAGUCGGACGGCAGCACAGAGAAGCUUGCUUCUUGGGUGGCGAGUGGCGAACGGGUGAGUAAUAUAUCGGAACGUACCGAGUAAUGGGGGAUAACUAAUCGAAAGAUUAGCUAAUACCGCAUAUUCUCUGAGGAGGAAAGCAGGGGACCUUCGGGCCUUGCGUUAUUCGAGCGGCCGAUAUCUGAUUAGCUAGUUGGUGGGGUAAAGGCCUACCAAGGCGACGAUCAGUAGCGGGUCUGAGAGGAUGAUCCGCCACACUGGGACUGAGACACGGCCCAGACUCCUACGGGAGGCAGCAGUGGGGAAUUUUGGACAAUGGGCGCAAGCCUGAUCCAGCCAUGCCGCGUGUCUGAAGAAGGCCUUCGGGUUGUAAAGGACUUUUGUCAGGGAAGAAAAGGCUGUUGCUAAUACCGACAGCUGAUGACGGUACCUGAAGAAUAAGCACCGGGCUAAGUCGUAACAAGG
Molecule: ribosomal RNA, 495 nt
Filed under: Neisseria flavescens
Lineage: Bacteria; Pseudomonadati; Pseudomonadota; Betaproteobacteria; Neisseriales; Neisseriaceae
Description: bacterial SSU rRNA
Rfam family: Bacterial small subunit ribosomal RNA
Source: RNAcentral